This 583-nucleotide ribosomal RNA is filed under the name Sardinella aurita (round sardinella). Its description in RNAcentral is "partial 16S ribosomal RNA". It matches the Rfam family "Bacterial large subunit ribosomal RNA", at positions 1814 to 2602 of the family's 2925-position model. Lineage: Eukaryota; Metazoa; Chordata; Actinopteri; Clupeiformes; Clupeidae. The record is from RNAcentral.
CAUCGCCUCCUGCCCACUCAGCAUAGGAGGUCCCGCCUGCCCUGUGACCAAAAGUUUAACGGCCGCGGUAUUUUAACCGUGCAAAGGUAGCGCAAUCAAUUGUCUUUUAAAUGAAGACCUGUAUGAAUGGCAUAACGAGGGUUUAACUGUCUCUUUUUUCAGGUCAAUGAAACUGAUCUGUCCGUGCAGAAGCGGACAUACUAACACAAGACGAGAAGACCCUAUGGAGCUUUAGACGCCCACCAACCACGAAAAGCAGCCUACCUAAACAGAUGCUCUAAACAACGCGGUCCUGGUACAAACGUCUUCGGUUGGGGCGACCGCGGAGGAGAACAAAGCCUCCGAGAGGAAUGGGAACAAACCCUAAAACCAAGAGCCACAGCUCUAAGUCACAAAAAAUUUGACCGACAAUGAUCCGGCUUACUGCCGAUCAACGGACCAAGUUACCCUAGGGAUAACAGCGCAAUCCCCUCCCAGAGUCCAUAUCGACGAGGGGGUUUACGACCUCGAUGUUGGAUCAGGACAUCCUAAUGGUGCAGCCGCUAUUAAGGGUUCGUUUGUUCAACGAUUAAAGUCCUACGUG